GAUGAACGCUGGCGGCGUGCUUAACACAUGCAAGUCGAACGGAAAGGCUCCUGCUUGCAGGGGUACUCGAGUGGCGAACGGGUGAGUAACACGUGGGUGAUCUGCCCUGCACUUCGGGAUAAGCCUGGGAAACUGGGUCUAAUACCGGAUAGGACGAUGGUUUGGAUGCCAUUGUGGAAAGUUCUUUCGGUGUGGGAUGAGCUCGCGGCCUAUCAGCUUGUUGGUGGGGUAAUGGCCUACCAAGGCGUCGACGGGUAGCCGGCCUGAGAGGGUGUACGGCGACAUUGGGACUGAGAUACGGACCAGAAUCCUACGGGAGGCAGCAGUGGGGAAUAUUGCACAAUGGGCGCAAGCCUGAUGCAGCGACGCCGCGUGGGGGAUGACGGCCUUCGGGUUGUAAACUCCUUUCGCUAGGGACGAAGCGCAAGUGACGGUACCUGGAGAAGAAGCACCGGCUAACUACGUG
This 466-nucleotide ribosomal RNA is filed under the name uncultured bacterium. RNAcentral's name for it is "partial 16S ribosomal RNA". It matches the Rfam family "Bacterial small subunit ribosomal RNA", at positions 28 to 507 of the family's 1533-position model. The record is from RNAcentral.